Molecule: ribosomal RNA, 253 nt
Filed under: uncultured bacterium
Lineage: Bacteria
Description: partial 16S ribosomal RNA
Rfam family: Bacterial small subunit ribosomal RNA
Source: RNAcentral
UACGUAGGAUGCAAGCGUUGUCCGGAAUCACUGGGCGUAAAGGGUCCGUAGGCGGUUUGUCAAGUCUCCUGUGAAAUUUCAGGGCUCAACCCUGAGAGGUCGGGGGAUACUGACAGACUUGAGACUGUUAGAGGCAGGUGGAAUUCCCGGUGUAGUGGUGAAAUGCGUAGAUAUCGGGAGGAACACCAGUGGCGAAAGCGGCCUGCUGGGACAGUUCUGACGCUGAGGGACGAAAGCGUGGGUAGCAAACCGG